CUUCCUUAAGUGGCUAUUACUGGAUUUCUCCUUCCAGCCUAGGGAUAAGCAGGAUUCUGGGCUUUAAAAAGAUCUCUAGUGGGCUGAAUAAGAAAGUGACAACUGAAGAAUGUCAUGGCAAAACUUCGAUAUGUUCUAAUUACAGCACCGUUAAUGAGAAGAACAUUUGUCAGAUCAGAGCAUUCAUCACGUUCAGCAGAGACACGCUGAAAUCAUCUAUUCACGUAGAGUCUGAAAACGUUCUACUCGUGUCUCGUUCGAUGCCACAGAAGGUAGUGUCUGGCAAUACAAGGUCACACCACCUUCUCAUGUUCUUGGAAGAUAAAGGAAGAGGAAAUACAAGCUCAUAUAUUUCAAGAAUGAGAAAACGAACAACAUGGGAAAACACACACACAAACCUGGCAGAACUGAUGAUUUAAACUUGAGCUCCAAAGAAACACACAAUUGAUGGUCCAACACUUGUGAUGGACCAGUC
This 475-nucleotide long non-coding RNA is filed under the name Athene cunicularia (burrowing owl). RNAcentral's name for it is "lncRNA (ENSACUG00000006601.1)". Lineage: Eukaryota; Metazoa; Chordata; Aves; Strigiformes; Strigidae. The record is from RNAcentral.